AGUCGAACGAAGAUACUUAAAAAGAGAGCUUCGGCAGGAUUUUUAUUCUAUCUUAGUGGCGGACGGGUGAGUAACGUGUGGGCAACCUGCCCUAUACUGGGGAAUAAUCACUGGAAACGGUGACUAAUACCGCAUGUCAUUACGGAAGGGCAUCCUUCUGUAAGAAAAGGAGUAAUUCGGUAUAGGAUGGGCCCGCAUCUGAUUAGCUAGUUGGUGAGAUAACAGCCCACCAAGGCGACGAUCAGUAGCCGACCUGAGAGGGUGAUCGGCCACAUUGGGACUGAGACACGGCCCAAACUCCUACGGGAGGCAGCAGUGGGGAAUAUUGCACAAUGGGGGAAACCCUGAUGCAGCAACGCCGCGUGAAGGAAGAAGGUUUUCGGAUCGUAAACUUCUAUCAACAGGGACGAAGAAAGUGACGGUACCUGAAUAAGAAGCCCCGGCUAACUACGUGCCAGCAGCCGCGGUAAUACGUAGGGGGCAAGCGUUAUCCGGAAUUACUGGGUGUAAAGGGAGCGUAGGCGGCACGCCAAGCCAGAUGUGAAAGCCCGAGGCUUAACCUCGCGGAUUGCAUUUGGAACUGGCGAGCUAGAGUACAGGAGAGGAAAGCGGAAUUCCUAGUGUAGCGGUGAAAUGCGUAGAUAUUAGGAGGAACACCAGUGGCGAAGGCGGCUUACUGGACUGUAACUGACACUGAGGCUCGAAAGCGUGGGGAGCAAACAGGAUUAGAUACCCUGGUAGUCCACGCCGUAAAC
Molecule: ribosomal RNA, 755 nt
Filed under: uncultured bacterium
Lineage: Bacteria
Description: bacterial SSU rRNA
Rfam family: Bacterial small subunit ribosomal RNA
Source: RNAcentral